Molecule: ribosomal RNA, 467 nt
Filed under: uncultured bacterium
Lineage: Bacteria
Description: partial 16S ribosomal RNA
Rfam family: Bacterial small subunit ribosomal RNA
Source: RNAcentral
GACGAACGCUGGCGGCGUGCUUAACACAUGCAAGUCGAACGGAAAGGCCCUGCUUUUGUGGGGUGCUCGAGUGGCGAACGGGUGAGUAACACGUGAGUAACCUGCCCUUGACUUUGGGAUAACUUCAGGAAACUGGGGCUAAUACCGGAUAGGAGCUCCUGCUGCAUGGUGGGGGUUGGAAAGUUUCGGCGGUUGGGGAUGGACUCGCGGCUUAUCAGCUUGUUGGUGGGGUAGUGGCUUACCAAGGCUUUGACGGGUAGCCGGCCUGAGAGGGUGACCGGCCACAUUGGGACUGGGAUACGGCCCAGACUCCUACGGGAGGAAACAGUGGGGAAUAUUGCACAAUGGGCGGAAGCCUGAUGCAGCAACGCCGCGUGCGGGAUGACGGCCUUCGGGUUGUAAACCGCUUUCGCCUGUGACGAAGCGUGAGUGACGGUAAUGGGUAAAGAAGCACCGGCUAACUACGU